RNAcentral lists this ribosomal RNA (484 nucleotides) under uncultured bacterium. RNAcentral's name for it is "partial 16S ribosomal RNA". It matches the Rfam family "Bacterial small subunit ribosomal RNA", at positions 30 to 507 of the family's 1533-position model. The record is from RNAcentral.
AUUGAACGCUGGCGGCAGGCCUAACACAUGCAAGUCGAGCGGAUGAAGGGAGCUUGCUCCUGGAUUCAGCGGCGGACGGGUGAGUAAUGCCUAGGAAUCUGCCUGGUAGUGGGGGAUAACGUCCGGAAACGGGCGCUAAUACCGCAUACGUCCUGAGGGAGAAAGUGGGGGAUCUUCGGACCUCACGCUAUCAUAUGAGCCUACGUCGGAUUAGCUAGUUGGUGGGGUAAAGGCCUACCAAGGCGACGAUCCGUAACUGGUCUGAGAGGAUGAUCAGUCACACUGGAACUGAGACACGGUCCAGACUCCUACGGGAGGCAGCAGUGGGGAAUAUUGGACAAUGGGCGAAAGCCUGAUCCAGCCAUGCCGCGUGUGUGAAGAAGGUCUUCGGAUUGUAAAGCACUUUAAGUUGGGAGGAAGGGCAGUAAGUUAAUACCUUGCUGUUUUGACGUUACCAACAGAAUAAGCACCGGCUAACUUCGUG